CCUACGGGAGGCUGCAGUGGGGGAUCUUGCACAAUGGGGGGAACCCUGAUGCAGCGACGCCGCGUGGGUGAAGGAGCGUUUCGGCGCGUAAAGCCCUAUCGGAAGGGAAGAAGAUGACGGUAACUGACCAAGAAGCCUCGGCUAACUACGUGCCAGCAGCCGCGGUAAUACGUAGGGGGCAAGCGUUAUCCGGAUUUACUGGGUGUAAAGGGGUCGAAGACGGCAAUGCAAGCCAGGUGUGAAAGCCCGGGGCCCAACCCCGGGACUGCUCUUGAAACUGCAUGGCUGGAGAACGGGAGGGGCAGGCGGAAUUCCUAGUGUAGGGGUGAAAUGCGUAGAUAUUAGGAGGAACACCGGUGGCGAAGGCGGCCUGCUGGACUGUGACUGACGUUGAGGCCCGAAGGCGUAGGGAGCAAACAGGAUUAGAUACCCGUGUAGUC
RNAcentral lists this ribosomal RNA (440 nucleotides) under uncultured bacterium. RNAcentral's name for it is "partial 16S ribosomal RNA". It matches the Rfam family "Bacterial small subunit ribosomal RNA", at positions 338 to 795 of the family's 1533-position model. The record is from RNAcentral.